This 589-nucleotide ribosomal RNA is filed under the name Conus catus. Its description in RNAcentral is "partial 12S ribosomal RNA". The record is from RNAcentral. Lineage: Eukaryota; Metazoa; Mollusca; Gastropoda; Neogastropoda; Conidae.
UGCCAGCAGCCGCGGUUAAACCAAGAAAUUUAGUCAUUCUUUAAUGGUAAAAAGACAGUUAGGCAAAGAUAAGUGAAACUAUUGGAUCUUUAGUAGAGGAGUAAAAUCUAAAUACUAAAAGCUACAUCAAACAUAGUUUAUUUAAGAUGUUGAAUCUGUGACAGCUUUAAGGGAAACUGGGAUUGGAUACCCCAUUAUUUUUAGUUAUAAAUUUAGUUUAAGCUUACCAGAGUACUACGAAUAAAAAGUUUAAAACUCAAAGGGCUUGGCGGUGUUUUAGACCUCUCAGGGGAACCUGUCUCAUAAUCGACAAUCCACGUUAAACCUAACCUUUUAUAGUAAUACAGCUUGUAUACCGUCGUCGUCAGGUAACUUCUUAAAAUAUAGUAGUUAGCUUGAGAAUUUGAUUAAUUAAAACGUCAGAUCAAGGUGCAGCUAAUGAAAAGGUGAGGAUGGGUUACAAUUACAUAUUUGUAAACACGGAAAAACACUUGAAAUGAAGCGUCUUAAAGGAGGACUUGAAAGUAAUUUUGGUUAUAUAGGCAGAAUGAAUAAGGCUCUGAAACGUGCACACAUCGCCCGCCACUCU